RNAcentral lists this ribosomal RNA (455 nucleotides) under uncultured soil bacterium. RNAcentral describes it as "bacterial SSU rRNA". It matches the Rfam family "Bacterial small subunit ribosomal RNA", at positions 26 to 530 of the family's 1533-position model. The record is from RNAcentral.
AGAGCGAACGCUGGCGGCAGGCUUAACACAUGCAAGUCGAACGGUUGUAGCAAUACAGCAGUGGCAGACGGGUGAGUAACACGUGGGAACCUUCCUAGGGGUACGGAACAACUCAGGGAAACUUGAGCUAAUACCGUAUACGUCCGUAAGGAGAAAGUUUUAACGCCCCUAGACGGGCCCGCGUAGGAUUAGGUAGUUGGUGAGGUAACGGCUCACCAAGCCUACGAUCCUUAGCUGAUCUGAGAGGAUGAUCAGCCACACUGGGACUGAGACACGGCCCAGACUCCUACGGGAGGCAGCAGUGGGGAAUCUUGGACAAUGGGCGCAAGCCUGAUCCAGCCAUGCGCGUGAGUGAAGAAGCCUCGGUUGAAAGCUCUUUACCAGGACGAUAAUGACGGUACCUGGAGAAAGUAAGACCCCCGGCGAAACUUACCGGUGACCCAGACGAGCCCGGC